This is a long non-coding RNA of Prinia subflava (tawny-flanked prinia), 590 nucleotides long. RefSeq lists it as uncharacterized. The transcript is spliced from 5 exons. NCBI's taxonomy places the organism in Eukaryota, Metazoa, Chordata, Aves, Passeriformes, Cisticolidae. The record is from RefSeq and is a predicted model, not a curated record.
CUGGCCCUCGCUGCCUUUGGGCGUUCUUGCUUCCCUGGACUCCUGGAUUCAUCAAGCAGCUGGUCCAGCCUGUACGAGGCUCUUCCUCCUGGCCCGACCAAGCGCUGUUGCCGAGACCUGAGUCAAUUUGGACAUCCAGGUCCUUCUUAGAGCUGCAGUAGUCACUGAUCCAACUAGAGGCUGGUCUGAAGACUCCCCCAGAAGUGUGAACCUUAGUAAGGACACAGAAGUUUUCCAGCUCGUUAUACCAGGGCCAGCAAUAUUCUCCAGUGUCAACAGGGGCUUGGGCUGAGUGUGGCAGUCAUCCUCUCUGGAGGACCUGUGGUGCCAACUCGCAGCACCUGCCAAGGCAAAGUGCUUGAGCAGCCUCUGUGGGGGAUUCACUGACACUGUGGCCAAAGCUUUGGUGUUCAGAAGAUGACCUUGAGUAGGUCACUUCAUCUGCCCAAAUGUUCUACCACUCAUUAAAUUUAGAUAAAAAUACUUGUCUGGGUUAGUAAAAUGUCUUUGAGAUCAUUGGACAACAAAAGCUAUCCAACUGGUGAUUAUUAUUACUAUUAUAAUUACUUUCAUUAAAUGAAACCAGCUGA